AGCGUUGUUGCCGCUGAAGUGUCGAGUGUCACCACACAGCGCUACGAUGUCGCGCUUUUUCCGGGCUUAUGGGGUACUCACGAGUUUAUUUACGGGCGUGAACUGAGCGACAAGGUUUGCGUGGCGUCUCCAGUCGCUGGUACCGUGUGGAAUAGGGUGUAGUUGGGGAAACGCAAGCACUACUCAGCAAGUGGCGCGGCGAGUAUGUGUGCGUUCAGCAGCGCGCAUCUACCUCGAACUGGAUUUCGACGGGCGCUCUGGCACACUGUACCACACGUAUGUGGGUUCGGUAGAACGCGGGAGUAUCUGGGAGGGAAAUCUUGUGUCUUUUGCUCGUUACUGACUGCGUUCAAGUUUUCCAGGGAUCCUGUUGUGACGCGGCAUUCCGUUGGCUUAAAAAAAAGUCGUUAAGAGCUGAAAACUGUUAAGAAAGAGAAGUGAUUUUUUGGUUAAGACGAUCUUGAGGAAAAAUACGUUCUUGUUCGGCUCGAGGCUGCAAUUGUUGAAAGCUUUGGCGAGAGCGCGCCGCUCGAGUGAAGGCCUCGACGCCAGCUUGCCACAACGUCAUUUUGGACAAACUCGCAGUACGGGUCGGUAGCAAUAGAAAACUAGGUCGCGCUUGGUAUGCCUGGCGGAAAUGCAAUCCAUGUUGAUCGUGAGUCUUGGUUUUCGACAUUCGAGGUGUCCCGAUAACUGUACCAACUGUCGCCGACGCUCCGAGUGGAAACAGGAUGUUGACUUAUCGGAUACCUCUAGGGUUUCUACCUCGUUCUCGUCGCUAGCUGCUUUAUAGACGUAAUCCGCGGCUUUGUACGGUUUUCACGAAAUACGAGCGUUUUGAAGCUUCCUUCGGGGCUUUGCGGCGACCGCCGCCGAUCUACCACAGCAACGCUUUCGCCAUGCGCCCUGACCAUACCCGUGCACGCUUUCCAAAAGGACGCUCAAAUUCUGUUCAAGGAUUAGCAGCAAUCGUCUAUGGACUUGAACAUAGGUUGAGUACGGAUCUAUGCUCCGCAGCUGCCGCGAGCGCGCCCGGUGCAACGCCCGAGCACGUUACCUCGUGGGAUGAGCGAGAGAAUGCGCUCUCCGAGGCUCACGCUUUCCAAGCAAGCUGAGCGUUCUCCAUACCUGGUAACAGCAAAGUCUUGCUGUAGCAUCGAUUUCACUAGACCGUGGCGGAGUCAUCUGCCACGGACGACGUGCUCCAGUGGCGGUUUUCUGUCAUGCGAAAAGAUGGUGCUCGCGUAUACCAUGUCAGUAUUGGUACAUGUUCUGAUUCGAAUCUGAGCGGCAGAUGAAGGUUCCAGCACGCUGCACAAAGAAUCGUCUUCUCAGACGCUUGUUCUCACGACAGGUUAAUCGCACAUAUUCUUACGCAAAUGGCAAUGAUAUGAAAGCAGCGCUUGUCUUGGAGUGCUUGGGGGCUCCCCGCACGCACCUCGUAUCGGCGAUACGAAAGUGAUCCGCGUCUAUGGCUACAACAAAGCUGUGGACAGCGUCCGGACACGUGUCCACGGCGUCAUGCGUGCGCAGGUCUGGUCCAAGUAGCAUGCACCUGCACCGGACGUGCUUCGCGCCUACGAGGCUACGUCGAACGUCAUUCAUGAAAGCACGAUGUCAUGUAAACGCCAAGACGCAUCGCGACACGUUUGGAACCACGAAUGCGAUCUCGUGGGGAUGUGUCGAGUGUCGGCAAUGAAAUGCUGUGCUGGUGUCAAUCUAUAGAUCAUCGCUUUAUAACAAGUCGCGUCGAGCACCUCGCCCUGGUUAACGGAGUGAUAGAUGGAUGCAAAGGCGUGCUGCCCCUGGCAACGUGGGUACACAUCUUCACUUCUUUGUUCUAGCCCAAAACCACUGAUUCGCUCGUAUCCAGGUAGAUACCUGGACUUCGAUGUUCUCGAUUCGGCGCUCAUGGUGAGUAUCUCUGAAUGCAGCGCGCGGAUCCAAAACAGCUCAAGGAGGUCGUCGCUGGGGAAAGCGGCUACCUGCAGACUGCGAUUUUUCAGAGUGUUCUACCCGUUCUCCAUUGGAGCAUCACCGCCAUUUCUUGACAAGAAAAAAACGAAGACCCAAGUGCGUCAUUUAGAACCGUUUUGCUGCCCUUCUCGCCACGAGCACUUGAUCGAGCAGGCGUAGUGCCUCUGUACCGUCCUUGGGCAACGCAUCGAUCACAGCGUCGGCGCCUUCGAAGCUCUCAAAACGCGUGUAAGCACUCUUUGUCACGAGGCAGCAUAAUCCAGCUGCUUUCGCGGCUUUCACGCCAAUGGCAGAGUCCUCAAUCACAACGGUGUGGUUUGGAUCCAAUCGCAUCUGCUCUAUCGCUAACAGGUAAAUAUCCGGGGCGGGCUUUUUCCGCGGGACCACAUCACCCGCGAAUACUCGUAUUCUCGGAGCAA
RNAcentral lists this unclassified non-coding RNA (2396 nucleotides) under Cyanidioschyzon merolae strain 10D. RNAcentral describes it as "hypothetical transcript". Lineage: Eukaryota; Rhodophyta; Bangiophyceae; Cyanidiales; Cyanidiaceae. The record is from RNAcentral.